GACGAACGCUGGCGGCGUGCUUAACACAUGCAAGUCGAGCGGGAAACUUCGGUUUCCAGCGGCGGACGGGUGAGUAACCCGUGGGUAACCUGCCUCACAAUGAGGGAUAGCCUUCCGAAAGGAAGAUUAAUACCUCAGAACACAAGAGAAACGCAUGUUCCUCUUGCCAAAGAAUGUCGAGGCGAGAUGGGCCCGCGGCGCAUUAGAUCGUUGGUGAGGUAACGGCUCACGAAGGCCUCGAUAGGUAGCCGACCUGAGAGGGUGAUCGGCCACAUAGGCGCUGGGCCGCGGUCCAGACUCCUACGGGACGCAGCAGUGGGGAAUAUUGCACCAUCGGGGAAGCGAUGAUGCAGCAACGUCGCGUGAGUGAUGACGGUCUUCGGAUUGUAAAGCUCUGUCUUCUGGGACGAUAAUGACGGUACCAGAGGAGGAAGCCACGGCUAACUACGUGCCAGCCGCCGCAGUAA
RNAcentral lists this ribosomal RNA (467 nucleotides) under uncultured bacterium. Its description in RNAcentral is "partial 16S ribosomal RNA". It matches the Rfam family "Bacterial small subunit ribosomal RNA", at positions 28 to 523 of the family's 1533-position model. The record is from RNAcentral.